This 253-nucleotide ribosomal RNA is filed under the name uncultured bacterium. RNAcentral describes it as "partial 16S ribosomal RNA". It matches the Rfam family "Bacterial small subunit ribosomal RNA", at positions 524 to 776 of the family's 1533-position model. The record is from RNAcentral.
UACGGGGGGGGCAAGCGUUGUUCGGAAUUACUGGGCGUAAAGGGCUCGUAGGUGGCCAACUAAGUCAGACGUGAAAUCCCUCGGCUUAACCGGGGAACUGCGUCUGAUACUGGAUGGCUUGAGUUCGGGAGAGGGAUGCGGAAUUCCAGGUGUAGCGGUGAAAUGCGUAGAUAUCUGGAGGAACACCGGUGGCGAAGGCGGCACCCUGGACCGACACUGACACUGAGGAGCGAAAGCCAGGGGAGCAAACGGG